RNAcentral lists this small RNA (1279 nucleotides) under Rattus norvegicus (Norway rat). Its description in RNAcentral is "uncharacterized LOC102547851". Lineage: Eukaryota; Metazoa; Chordata; Mammalia; Rodentia; Muridae. The record is from RNAcentral.
GCCCUUCGCUGAUGAUUGAUAACGAAGACGCACAUAUACACGGCUGGGAAGAAACGCGAAGUGACGAAAUCCACAGCUAAGAGAACGAACUAGAAAUCAAGUGAGUCAUGUCUGCUGUCCUCCUGUUCCUGCAGCUUCCCGAGGCUUUGAGAGAUCCAACCUCUGAAGAUGAAUCGAAGACCAGUCCUUCUGCAUCACAUGCCACUCAGGACUGCUCUCACAGAGCCCGGAUGUAGUCAGCCUUGCCCAGCAGCCUCCAGGAGUUCCUGUGCACCCUAUUUUUCUCAAUACCACAGUAUCACUAAAGGUCUGAACUGGAACAUAUCAAGAAGACACACGAGAAGGUCAAGGUGAUGGAGCUCUUGGCUGGUUAUCCACCUCACAAAGAGCCAAUCAGCAAAGCUUGAAUGACCUGUGUUUUCAUCUCUGACUCCUCUGCUCGGAGGCAUCAGGGUCUCAAGAUUACAUGGGCACUUCUGAAUCCAGAAGAACCAGUGAUUCCCUGAUUCAAGUUCCUCAACUUAAUCCAGCCAACCUCCAUCUCCAGGAUCUUCCUGAAUGAUGAAGAGCUGAGCCCUGAGGUAGAUCCUCACUGCUUAGGACGUUUACCUGCUCCAACCUCCACACAUCGAGAUACAGGACAACACAUGUGAGCUGAUCCUCACAUCCAGCACACAACAGACUUUCCAAAAACUCUCUGACCACAAAGUUGGUGCCAGAUCACAGUGGUGAGCAGACUCAGAAGUGUGCAGACCACCAAGUGAAGUCCCCACUCCCUAACCCUGCUCUACCAUAAGCAGCCACUCACAGCGCGGGGACAUCCUGUCCUCCGUGUUUGACUGUGAGAGCUCUGUUUCAUCUUCAAUUCCGAGCUUCAGUAAUGAAUUUUAAAAUUUGAAUUCUAGAAGACAGGAUGGACUCUGAUUUCAUAUUCAGAAGGUCUUGUUUGCAGAAGAUGUAGGUCUCAGGUAGACAAGCCACAGGCACAGUGUGGAGGAGCAGCCGAGUCUGGAGAUCUACACCUUGAGUAGAGACAGAGGCUCCGAUGGUAGGAGGAUCACCACAUUUUUGUUCUCAGAGGCUUUGAGGGCUGUCCUGUACCAGACUGGAAACCACGAACAUCUGAAUUCCUCUCAGUUCACUUCAUUCUGCCUCAGCUCCGCACAGUGCUUUGACCAGCAAUGGCUGCUCACUGUUGGUUUGCCACCUGACACAAGCGGAAGUUAUCAUAGAGAAAGGAGCCUUCGUUGAGGAAAUGCCUCCGUGAGACCCAGCUGUA